CCUACGGGUGGCAGCAGUGAGGAAUAUUGGUCAAUGGGCGCAAGCCUGAACCAGCCAAGUCGCGUGAGGGAAGACGGCCCUACGGGUUGUAAACCUCUUUUGCCGGGGAGCAAGCCUGAGCACGUGUGCCCAGGCGGAGAGUACCCGGAGAAAAAGCAUCGGCUAACUCCGUGCCAGCAGCCGCGGUAAUACGGAGGAUGCGAGCGUUAGCCGGUUUUAUUGGGUUUAAAGGGUGCGCAGGUGGAGGCACAGGUCAGCGGUAAAAUCGCGGGGCUCAACCCGGCUCCGCCGUUGAAACUGUGUCCCUUGAGUGCGCGAAGGGUAGGCGGAAGGCGUGGUGUAGCGGUGAAAUGCAUAGAGAUCACGCAGAACACCGAUCGCGAAGGCAGCCUACCGGCGCGCAACUGACGCUCAUGCACGAAAGCGUGGGUAUCGAACAGGAUUAGAUACCCCGGUAGUC
Molecule: ribosomal RNA, 460 nt
Filed under: uncultured bacterium
Lineage: Bacteria
Description: partial 16S ribosomal RNA
Rfam family: Bacterial small subunit ribosomal RNA
Source: RNAcentral